RNAcentral lists this ribosomal RNA (105 nucleotides) under Mollicutes bacterium. Lineage: Bacteria; Bacillati; Mycoplasmatota; Mollicutes. The record is from RNAcentral.
AUUGGUGACGAUAGCGAAGUGGAUACACCUGUUCCCAUCCCGAACACAGAAGUUAAGCACUUCAGCGCCGACGAUAGUGUAAGCGAAAAUAGGUCGUUGCCAAUU